RNAcentral lists this ribosomal RNA (205 nucleotides) under uncultured bacterium. Its description in RNAcentral is "partial 16S ribosomal RNA". It matches the Rfam family "Bacterial small subunit ribosomal RNA", at positions 568 to 774 of the family's 1533-position model. The record is from RNAcentral.
UGCGUAGGUGGCAGUGCAAGUCAGAUGUGAAAGGCCGGGGCUCAACCCCGGAGCUGCAUUUGAAACUGCUCGGCUAGAGUACAGGAGAGGCAGGCGGAAUUCCUAGUGUAGCGGUGAAAUGCGUAGAUAUUAGGAGGAACACCAUGGCGAAGGCGGCCUGCUGGACUGUUACUGACACUGAGGCACGAAAGCUGGGGAGCAAACA